AGCGGCGGACGGGUGAGUAAUGCUUAGGAAAUCUGCCCAGUAGUGGGGGAUAGCCCGGGGAAACCCGGAUUAAUACCGCAUACGUCCUACGGGAGAAAGCAGGGGAUCUUCGGACCUUGCGCUAUUGGAUGAGCCUAAGUCGGAUUAGCUAGUUGGUGGGGUAAAGGCCUACCAAGGCGACGAUCCGUAGCUGGUCUGAGAGGAUGAUCAGCCACAUCGGGACUGAGACACGGCCCGAACUCCUACGGGAGGCAGCAGUGGGGAAUAUUGGACAAUGGGGGCAACCCUGAUCCAGCCAUGCCGCGUGUGUGAAAGAAAGGCUUUCGGGUUGUAAAGCACUUUUCAGUAGGGAGGAAAAACCUUAUGGCUAAAUACCCAUGAGGCUUGGACGUUACCUACCAGAAGAAAGCACCCGGGCUAACUCCGUGCCAGCAGCCGCGGUAAUACGGAGGGUGGCAAGCGUUAAUCGGAAUUACUGGGCGUAAAGCGCGCGUAGGUGGUUUGGUAAGCGAGAUGUGAAAGCCCCGGGGCUUAACCUGGGAACGGCAUUUCGAAACUGUCAGACUAGAGUGUGGUAGAAGGGGUAGUGGAAUUUCCUGUGUAGCGGUGAAAAUGCGUAGAUAUAGGAAGGAAACACCAGUGGCGAAGGCGGCUACCUGGACCAACACUGACACUGAGGUGCGAAAGCGUGGGGAGCAAACAGGAUUAGAUACCCUGGUAGUCCACGCCGUAAACGAUGUCAACUAGCCGUUGGGACUCUUGAAGUCUUAGUGGCGCAGCUAACGCACUAAGUUGACCGCCUGGGGAGUACGGCCGCAAGGUUAAAACUCAAAUGAAUUGACGGGGGCCCGCACAAGCGGUGGAGCAUGUGGUUUAAUUCGACGCAACGCGAAGAACCUUACCUGGCCUUGACAUCCAGAGAACUUUCCAGAGAUGGAUUGGUGCCUUCGGGAACUCUGAGACAGGUGCUGCAUGGCCGUCGUCAGCUCGUGUCGUWMCGUGACGAUGUUGGGUUAAGUCCCGUAACGAGCGCAACCCCUAUCCCCUGGUUGCUAGCAGGUAAUGCUGAGAACUCCAGGGAGACUGCCGGUGACAAACCGGAGGAAGGUGGGGAUGACGUCAGGUCAUCAUGGCCCUUACGGCCAGGGCUACACACGUGCUACAAUGGCGCGUACAGAGGGCUGCCAACUCGCGAGAGUGAGCCAAUCCCUUAAAACGCGUCGUAGUCCGGAUCGGAGUCUGCAACUCGACUCCGUGAAGUCGGAAUCGCUAGUAAUCGCGAAUCAGAAUGUCGCGGUGAAUACGUUCCCGGGCCUUGUACACACCGCCCGUCACACCAUGGGAGUGGAUUGCACCAGAAGUAGUUAGUCUAACCUUCGGGAGGACRAUUACCACGGUGUGGUUCAUGACUGGGGUGAAGUCGUAACAAGGUAACC
RNAcentral lists this ribosomal RNA (1436 nucleotides) under uncultured bacterium. RNAcentral describes it as "16S ribosomal RNA". It matches the Rfam family "Bacterial small subunit ribosomal RNA". The record is from RNAcentral.